RNAcentral lists this ribosomal RNA (301 nucleotides) under uncultured bacterium. RNAcentral's name for it is "partial 16S ribosomal RNA". It matches the Rfam family "Bacterial small subunit ribosomal RNA", at positions 509 to 808 of the family's 1533-position model. The record is from RNAcentral.
CAGCCGCCGCGGGAAUACGUAGGUGGCAAGCGUUGUCCGGAAUUAUUGGGCGUAAAGGGCUCGCAGGCGGUUUCUUGAGUCUGAUGUGAAAGCCCCGGCUCAACCGGGGAGGGUCAUUGGAAACUGGGAAACUUGAGUGCAGAAGAGGAGAGUGGAAUUCCACGUGUAGCGGUGAAAUGCGUAGAGAUGUGGAGGAACACCAGUGGCGAAGGCGACUCUCUGGUCUGUAACUGACGCUGAAGAGCGAAAGCGUGGGGAGCGAACAGGAUUAGAUACCCCUGUAGUCCCUGUCUCUUAUACC